UACGGCUCCAAGUGUUGCCCUCAUUCAAAGUUCAGUAAAUAGAUUAUAUAAUCCCUAAUCCCUCAGGACAGGAUCCAAAAGCAGGCACGGCAUCAAAGGCUCUUCUAGUUACAAUAACAGCAUUCCCAUAGUAUUAAAAAAUGGCAAAUACUUUUUAGGUACGAAACAGUUCUCAGUUUGGAAUGUUCGAUCAAUAAAAUUUGAUUCAACAAGCUUCAAGAGAUGGGCAGAAACAAGGGACAAAGUCAUGCAGCAAACUUGUUAUGAGCAUAUCUUUUUUUCAUCAAGGAGAAACCUAUCCUGACACCCGCAGACAGAGGAAAAGGGCUACUAGAAAGGAGAACUGGAAAUAGCAUAAUGAACCAUCACAUAAGAUGAGUGUUGACACCUAAAUUUUGGCGAUCUUAAAGAAAUAAAAUUUGCAUAGCAUAAAAAAAAAAGGGAAAUAAGGGAAGGAUCAAUAUGAUUUGGUUAUGAAUGGAAUGUAGAAAUUCUGAUUAACCAUCCUUGCUCUGGUGAAUAUUUAAUUUAUAGUAAAUAUGAAAGUAAAUUCUCAAUCAAAGAAAUCAGAUGAAUAAAAAAGUAAGGAGUUUGAUAAAAUGGAAGGAAUCGAAAUAUUCAAGGAAAAAUCAAACCGAUUGCAAGAUUUUGCUCUAAUUUACAUGAAUUAAGGUAACGGAAAAAGGAAGCUCGAAAAUUGCCAUAAAAGAGGGUGGUCGGGAUCACUAUAAAAGUAGACCAAAAAUUUUCGAGCAAAAGAGGGAGAUUUCAAAAAAAAAAUUGAGGAGAAAAAGCGAGAGGUUUUCUUCAAAGAACAGAAAAAGUGAAAAAGGGAGAGGCAGAGAGGACUGGUGAGUGACGUGAGAGAAAGAGAGAAAAAAAAAAAGAAAAAAAAAAGGGAAGCAAAACAGGGCUACAGUAUCGUCCUCUUCCUCCCAACGCUGCCCCCUGUUCGCGUUGGUCCUGUGCCCGCGCUGGUCACAGCCCCGACACCGCAACGCCAGCCACCGCCGCAUCUCGCCACCUCGCCGCUCUGCUCGCCUCCGCCACCGCUGCUCCGCCGGUCACGCCGCGACUUCCAGCCCCGCCACCGACCCCUGCAGUAGCUCCCUCCGCUUCGCCUGCAACCCGCCGGUUCGCGAUUCAGCCGGUAAUCGCCGCGCCUCUGCGCACCAGCACCCGCAAGCCUCGCCGCACAGCAACCUGCGACCCGCAGCAACUCGCGCACACCACCCGACGACCCCCCGCGACGCUGCAGCAGCCUGAGAACCCGCGCCGGCCAUCGCGACCUGCUGCUGCCCAGCGCGACGCCGGAGCUCCAAAGCCCGCCGCUCCUGACCUCGCCACGCCACCAUCUCUGCACCGCCCGUCGCCGCUCGUCUCCCUCUGCCUGAGCUCACUGUCAGUCGCACGCCUGCACCUCCGCCCAGCAACACCGACUUUGCGAGCACCCAAAUCCGACGCCGCCUCUGUUGCUUUUGUAGCACCGCCGCUCGGAGCCCGACGCCGCCGCGACCUGUUGCUGCCCAGCCUCUAGCCGGAGCUCCGAAGCCCGCCGCUCCUGGCCUCGCCGCGCCACCGCACCGCCUCCGCUUGCGAUCCGUUUCCCCGUCGACGCCACUGUCCUCUCUUGAGCCUUAGGUGGUUUAUUUAUUUUUUAUUCAUUUAUUUGUUUAUAUUUUAAGUUUUAUUAUUAUUAUUUAAGUUAGAACAUGGUAUGUUAAUGUUAAUUAUUUGUAUUGUUUAGACAUUAUCUGCUAGGAUUUUGUCCGGAAUUAUUGUAAUUAUUAAUUUAAUCCGAGAGACAUCGGAUUUUUUUUUUAAUUAUAUUAAUUUUUGGGCUUUUUGGUAGAAUUUUAAAUUAUUAUAAUUAUUAAUCUGAUUCGUAAGACUUCGGAUCAGAUUUUUAAUUAUUUUGAUUUCUUUGUUGUGAUAAUUAGGGUUACGAUAAUCGUUAAUUUGACCUGUGAGACAACGGGUUAUUUUUUCGAUUAUUUUAAUUAUUUAUUUUGCUGAUAGGUUAGAUUUAAUAUUUAUUUAAUAAUUACUUAUCUUUUAAAAAAAUCAUAAAACCAAAAAAUCAAAAUUCUGCAUGAACAUAUAAGUUUAGUAAAUCAGACAUGUAGGUUUAGUAAAUUAGAAUUUUCUUAGGAUUACAUUUUUAGGAUUGCAUUUUUAGAAAUAAGUUAGGGUUGGACCUAAAUUAAUUUUUUAGAUAAUGUUCACACAUUUUAAUUAUUUCAUUUUUCAAAAAAUAAUUUUCUGAGAUAUGAUAGGAUUUAAGUCAAAUUAAUCCCUAGAAUAAAUUAGAAAAUUAUCCCUUUUUAGAUAGUUUAAUUAGGGUUUUUAUUAAUUCUGAAUUUCAAUAAAAAAAAAUACAAAAAUACUAGGUGCAUGUUAAUUAGUUCACAUAAUAGGAUCAUUUAAUAAGAAUUUCUUCAUUAGUGAAGUUAGGUCAUGAGGUGCAUAAUAACUAGUUUGCAUAAUAGACCCAUUUAAUUAGAAUUUGCAUAUUAAUAAGAUUAAGUCAUUUAGUUUUAAAAAAAUGCAUUUUUAUAAAAGAAUUCUAACUUUCAAGAAAACCCAAAAAAUUUUUUGCUUUGUGUGAUGCAAUUUAUUUAUUGAAUGUUUGAGCAUCCGUGUGGUCACUUUUUGCAUAAUAGUAAUUUAGGUUAAAAUAAAUCAGCUGCCUGCAAAAAAACAUUUUUGAAAUUUAAAAAGAAAUGGUACCGAAAGGGCAUUAGAGAGAUCUAAUGUAAUCAAGUCCCCGUACCCUUAAUCUUUUGUUCGUAGGAGUAAAAUAAUCCUCACAUUAUUUCACUUAGGUGUCUAAUCGAUCUACCAUAAACCGAUUAGUGGCGACUCCUAAUUAAUAAUCUUUUGCAUGUUAAAUUUUUGAACCUUAAGUCGCGAAUUGGUAUGUGCUUGGGAGAGCCCAAGUUAAGUUUAAAGACUUAGUAGUCCAUUAACCUAGUUUUAUGUAGUGCACCCGAAAAAUAAGUCGCGACAAUGAGUGUGAAGAAAAAAGAGCAUCACAGGAGGGACAUCUAUAAGAAAGGCAAACCCAGGGAAUCAAAGUCUGGAUUUCUGCAGGAACAGCUUUCAUCACCUCUUCAUAUAGCAUCGAGUUCUUCCCUCCAAGGACAUCCUUCUUGUUGACAAUCACAACCAACCCACAUCCUUAUACUACAGCUUGUCCGACUAUGACCCUUUCGGCAUGCUUCAUGCUUCGUUGUGCUUCAGCAAUCUAAAAAGGUAGGGGCAAAAAAUGUAUCAGUUCCAACAAUUGAAUCUAUUUAUGCAGAAGUACCGACUUUAGUUGAGUAGGUUACAUAAGGAAAAUGAACUGAAAAUUUCUAAUGGGGGAUGAAGCAUUCGGAUUUAAACCCACAAGAUGCUGCCACUGGCAUAAUGAUGCCAUCAGAACUCCAUCAAUUUGAAAUUGUUGGCAUAAUGAAAUGGUACAUCAAAACUCCAUCAAUUUCCAGCAAAAUGAUGCUACAAAAUACAAAUGGCAACUCAAAAUUUGCUGCCAACAACUUGCUCAUCCAGAAUUUGAACUCCAAAAACAAUGAAAAUGACACCAGAGCGACUAUAAUCACCGAGCAAUCUCGUACCCUUGGAGAGAAUGUCCAGAAAUCCAAUUUAACCGGGCGAGCGGCAUCCGGCGCUGAGCAGGGACGUCGGUCGCUGGUCUUCAGGGCAACGGCGUCAGGC
RNAcentral lists this long non-coding RNA (3717 nucleotides) under Eucalyptus grandis. Its description in RNAcentral is "long non-coding RNA (EGRA_LNC002206)". Lineage: Eukaryota; Viridiplantae; Streptophyta; Magnoliopsida; Myrtales; Myrtaceae. The record is from RNAcentral.